RNAcentral lists this unclassified non-coding RNA (2643 nucleotides) under Hevea brasiliensis (rubber tree). The record is from RNAcentral. Lineage: Eukaryota; Viridiplantae; Streptophyta; Magnoliopsida; Malpighiales; Euphorbiaceae.
UUUUCGUCGGCCUGAGAAAAAGCUGAAGCUUUUCGACGACCACUCACAACCUUACGAACCAGAAGAGUUUUUUUUUUUUUUGUUGUUGCUAACUUGACUUUUAGUCUAGGUUAGGUAGAAUCGAUUUAGGAAUUGUUGUACAGAUUUACCGGAAGUAGUUUCUUGCUAACGUGCGCCAGCGGAUCGGUCGGAGAAUGGUGAUGUUUUGUGAAUUUAUGAAUUUUUCCGGUUGUUGAUUAUAUCCGAUGUGCCGGAGAUUUUGCUGCUUGUUUGUGUAGUACAGGACAAGGAAACGGGAUGUAUAUACUUGCGUUGGAUAAGAUUGACUAGGUGAUCCGCUAAUGAAACCGGAUGAAUUAGAAACCCUAAGUUUUGAUUUAACUAGUAGUGAUUAGUGAAGAGAUGGAAGUGGUUUUAAUGGAGGUUUUGUAGUUGUGAUAUUGGGGGAGUGUGGGGGUUUGGAGCUGGAAUUUUGGAGUUAGUUGAUUUGAGUAUUUUCCUGGUGAUGAUGGAGAAGAAUAAGAUUAUUAAGAGUGGGGAUGGGUUCAUUGAUAGGAGUAAAGUGCGGAUUUUACUGUGUGAUAAAGAUCUCAGUAGCUCGCAGGAAGUUUUAACACUCUUGUGCAAAUGUUCUUAUCAAGUGACUUUAGUGAGGUCACCCAGACAGGUGAUUGAUGCACUGAAUGCUGAAGGACCUGAUAUAGAUAUCAUUCUUUCUGAAGUUGACCUUCCUAUUACCAAAGGAUACAAGAUGUUGAAAUACAUUAUGAAGGAUAAAGAACUGCGACGCAUUCCUGUGAUCAUGAUGUCGUCACAAGAUGAAGUUUCUAUUGUCGUUAAGUGCCUCAAAUUUGGAGCAGCUGACUACCUUGUGAAGCCUCUCCGCACUAAUGAGCUGUUGAACUUGUGGACUCACAUGUGGAGAAGAAGGCAAAUGCUUGGACUAGCAGAGAAGAACAUCCUGAGUUACGACUUUGAUUUGAUUAUAUCAGAUCCCAGUGAUCAUAAUACAAAUAGCACUACUCUUUUCUCUGAUGAUACUGAUGAUAAGUCCCGGAAGAGUGUCAAUCUGGAAGUAUGUCCGUCUAUUCAGUUCGAAGAUGAGAUCAAUGCUGCCACCACUACUACUGCUGUAGAGACUCUGGUUGUGGUUCCAUUUGAGUGUCAGUAUAAUGUGCCAGGAACUAAUAAUCGACAGACAGGACGAAUUUCUUCAUUUCCUAAGAAGAGUGAACUGAAGAUAGGUGAGUCCUCGGCAUUCUUUACCUAUGUCAAAUCAGGCAUGCCUAAAAGCAAUGACCAAGGAAUGAUCUCUACCAAUGAAAAUGUGGCUCACCAACCAAGGAUGGAAGGGAAGACCAAUGCAGCUGUAGGGCAUUUAGAGAUUGAAACUCAAAUGCAAGUUAAUGGAGAUGCCGUUGAAAAUCAUUCACAUGUCGAUGACUAUCCAAGUAGUAACAGUUUACCAGAUUCGUAUUCCAUGGAAAGGUCCUCUACUCCCCCUUUAUCACUAGAAUUACCGCAGCAGAGGAACUCGAAGAUGGAGGAAUUCUCGCAGGGGUACAUGUCUCUGCACAAUGAAGCCCAGCGUGAUACUGUGAAUUUUCACGUUCAAAAUGCUUAUCCCUAUUUUAUGCCUGGAGCGAUGAAUCAAGUCAUGAUGCCACCAUCAGCACAAAUGUAUCAGAAGAACCUGCAAGAUUUCCACAACCAUGCUAAUCCAGCUGCAUCACCUCAAUACAAUCAUAUGCCACCAUGUCCCCCUCAUAUGCAUGGGAUGUCAUCAUUUCCUUACUACCCUAUGGGCCUAUGCUUACGACCUGGCGAAAUGCCAACACCACAUCAAUGGCCCACAACUGGAAAUUCGCCUUCGGCUGAAGGUAAGUGGAGCAAAGUUGAUCGUAGAAAGGCCGCACUGUUGAAGUUUAGACAGAAGAGGAAGGAAAGAUGUUUUGACAAGAAGAUCAGGUAUGUUAACCGAAAAAAGCUGGCAGAACGGAGACCUCGUGUGAGAGGACAGUUUGUAAGGAAGGUCAAUGGUGUGAAUGUGGAUCUUAAUGGGCAUCCUGCGUCAGCUGAUUAUGAUGUUGAUGAAGAAGAGGAGGAUGAGGAGGAACAAACUGGAAACUUUGAUUCACCCGAGGAUGAUCCAUCAAUGUGUCUAUGAUGAUUGCAAUCUUUUGGUAGUUUUCCAUGUCAAUGAAUGGCUCGUGUUCUCAGAAUACCAUUGCAAAAAGCUGUUAUACCUUUGAGGAUAAAUGCAGAAGGAAUGAUGCUUCAGUUUUGAUCAACAUGCCCACGAAUGGAACAGGCUUGCUUUUUCAACUUACCUUCAGAGACUUGGUCUACAUGCAUGAUCAGUUGUGCAAUGAAAAAUGAAAAAAUCCUCCUGAUCCCACUGCUUUUCAGCAUAUCAUAUCUCACUAUAUUAACAAGGAAAUGUAUAAAGCUAAAAUCAAGAUUCUAAGAGAAACAAUCUGGACAGGAGAACUUAAUUGUGUUAUAGCGGCUCUGGCUUUUCCUGUCUAAUGUCACUGGAAUUUAGGAACUAUCUUGGAGUGAGGUGGCCAGAGCCAGUGAUUUCACAGUCGAACAAGGUAAUGAAAAUUACGGUGACAUUUUUUUCUGAAAACUGCUUUAAAU